AAGACAACUCUGUUUGGGAGAUUGGGAAUGCGAGUGCGAGAGGGUUAGUCUAUUAGAUAAGGCCAACGUCAAGUUUGGUCAAAGGUCACGAGAUGUAAACACAGCUAGCGCUAAUCCCAACCCUGACCCUAAGGCUUACCCUAACCCUAACCUACAAUCUCGCCAACAAUCACGUGCUCUAACACCUUAUUGAAAUCUCAGCGACCUUGACGGAAAUUGAGUUGGCCUUAACAAAUAGAUCAAGCUGUUGAGAGAUUGUUCAAGGAAGUAAAUUAUUCAAUUUUUACGCAAUAGAGAAUAGAGAAUUGUUUAUAGACAUCAGUUUAAUUGUCAUCAUGUAAACCAUUUGGAAUAUUACGUGAUGGGUUAUGUGUUUUCAUUGAUUGGGGUUUAUAGUGCAACCAUUUAGUAUUAUUGAUAACUGGACAUGUGAUUAGCAGGAAACAUGUUAAGAAAUUACUGUUUCUUGUUCCUGUUUACUAUUCUAUCCCAUGGCCAGGAUGCAGAUGCAGAUGCUACUUUAUGUUUGUUCGAUACUAGUAAAUGCAUUGGUGAAUUAAAACCUGACAAUCCAUUUGUUUACAUUGGUGAUGAGUUGGUGUUGAAUUGUUCUUUAAAUACCCCUCAAGAUGGUUCUUACAAUGCAUUGGAUCUACGAUUCACACAUCAUGAUGAUAUAGAUGUGGCGGAGGAAGACAUUCAUAUACUCAGUGAAUAUUUAGCUCAGCUAAGAUUAACAAUAACAAGCCCCAAGAAUAAAAGUCAUUAUAUGUGCAUCCUUAAUAAUCAAAUUGUGGGAGUUCAAGAUUUAUCUCUAGAAUAUCGUCCACGACCAGUUGAGAAUGUGAGCUGUGUGGUUGCUAAUUGGGACACUAUGACAUGUAAUUGGCAACUAGGACCCUAUGUUAAAGUGGAAGAUAUUAAUAUUUUACCAUACUGGUGGGUUCAAUCGGGAAAUGGAUAUUAUACAUGUGAUCGUUCAAGCCAAACUUCAUGUUUUUUUAAUGCUAGUAGUUACAAUGAAGGAAACAUGUACACUAUGAUGAUAGAAGUUAGUUAUAAACCAAAAAAUCGAGAAAUGUAUAUUACUAACGGGAAUUACACAAUCUAUGCUGAUCAACUAGUAAAACCAGAUCCUGUAGCUGAUCUGACAGCUAAUGCAGUCAACUCCACAUGCUUACAUUUAACCUGGUCACAUUCUAGAAGUGAAAAAAAUCUAAAAUAUAGAUUAAGAUAUUAUUCUCAGUGGGAUAAAGAAACUGAGAUAUUGUUAAAUCCUGGACGAUCCUUGAAACAUACAGUUUGUGGUCUUCAUCCUAAUACAUUAUAUAAUUUCACCGUGGCAGCACAUCCUAGAACACAAGGUUUUUGGAGUGAGACAGUUCACACAAGUACAACUACAUUAGAAGAUGUGCCAAGUUUUGGUCCAGCAACAACUAAUGGUGGUUAUUUUGAGUACCCGUGUGAGUAUGGACAUAGGAAGAUUGAUAUAUUUUUUAAGCAUGUUGCCAAAGAGAAUGAAAAUGGUGUCAUUAUUGAAUAUGGGGCUGAUGUCAGAAUGACUUCGACUGACGUAGAAAAUUUUGUAGCUGCAGCAGACUCAAACAAGAUCACUGUUCGUCUUCCGUGUCAUGUCGGUUAUUACGUCGAUUUGUAUGCUCGUACAAAGAUUGGAAAAUCUAAAAACAACACAAAAAUCUUUUUACGAGCAAUAAGAACAGUUACAGCAAAUGUUCAACUACAUAUUGUUAUAUCUAAUGAUACUGGUGCUGGUAAUCAAGUUAAAGCUGUAUGGAGGAAUACAUCACCUACUCUUAAACCAGUUUAUAUCUACUGGUGUCAAAGUGCAUUAACUAAUGUUUGUCAGGGAGAUUUAAAUUGGUUACCAAUUGAAGAUGAUGAUACUGACAUGAUAUUACCUGUUUCUGUGAAUGAAACUGAAGCUAAAGAAUAUAUAUUUGCCAUUUCUUUCAUGGUCGGUAACAGUCCUAGUUCGAUGAUAUUUUCAGAGUGUAUCUACAGGAGAUAUUCUGUUCCUGCGGACCCUCCUGAAGGAUUCCAACUAGAUAAAGAGAAUCCUGAUUUAUCUUUAGGACUAAGUUGGUCAUCUAAACAAUGUGAUCAUCAAUCAUUGAUAUACAUCGACAAUUAUAAUGUUCACUAUUGUCCAACUGAUAAACAAGGUGGCUGUUCAAAACAACAGCAGACAGUAAAAGUUUACAGCAGUCAUAGCCGAUAUCAAUUAAAUGAUCUAAAAGCAGAUGUAAACUACAGUGUGUGGCUUCAAGCUGAAUCAUCUGGUGAACUAGGACCAGAAAGUCUUCAUCUAUAUGCGAUACCAACUGACUCAAGAUUAUCUACAGUUGCUAUAGUAGUUAUAUGUAUUGUGUUGAUUAUCGUCGUAGCUGUAGCUGCAGUCGGAGUGUAUUUCAUAGUCGUUAGGAGAUGUAAAAAACUUAUUCAACCAUAUAAAAUUAGAGCUGACCUUGAAAAACACAAUUUUAUUUCAUCAUCAGGUGAUUUUAUACCUAACAACUCCAAUAAUAAUACUUUAUCAACAGGUAAUCAGAAUGAUGAUGUCGAAGUGGCAGAAAGGAAUUUCAAUAAUGAUAAGAGUAAAUUACCAGGUAGUACAGGUGGUACAGGUAGUAGUAAAUCUGACACUACAACAGAGAUGGAUUAUCAGAAAAUAACAUUUGAAAGCUCAGGUGAAACUGAUGAUGGUACAGAAAAAAAUACUGUAGUUAGUCAAGUGGCCAUUGAUCAGAAUCCAUUUCCAGUAUUUACACAUAAUAAUGAAAUCACACGAACGGAUAAAAUCGAUAGCACUAGGAAUGGUCGACUUAAUGGAAUUAAAAAUAAUGGUUAUUUUACACCAGAAGAAAUCCAAAUGAAACAGUUAUCUCCAGCUCCUGAUAUUACGUCCCGUACAGAUGAAUCGAGGAGAUCGAAUCUGGAUUAUUUUCAAGUAGCCAUGAAGAACUCAGCAGACAAUGACGAUAGUAUUGGUGAUCAUAAGAUAGAAGAUGAAGUUUCUGGUGAUCAUAAUAUAGAAGAUGAGGUUUCUGAUCAUAAUAUAGAAGAUGAGGUUUCUGGUGAUCAUAAAAUAGGAGAUGAUGCUUCUGGUGAUCAUAAGAUAGAAGAUGAAGUUUCUGGUGAUCAUAAUAUAGAAGAUGAGGUUUCUGAUCAUAAUAUAGAAGAUGAGGUUUCUGGUGAUCAUAAGCUGUUGACAGAUCCUGAAAAUCAUGGUAAAGUACAAAUACCAAUUGCUCAAGAAAAUCAUGGUCAAGCAUUAAGUGCACAAAUACCAAUUGCUCCACCAGUUAGAAAGUCCAAUGAUGGUUACUGCACUCAUGAAGAAUUACAGAAGAAAAUAGGAAAUCCACUGCCAGAUAAUCGUAAUCCGUCUGGAAAUGGUUCAAACAUUAAUCAAAAUUUCACAAAAUCACCAAAUAAAGAGGAAAGUAUGGAAUUGAGAGACAAAAGGUUAGAAUCUGAUUCUAGCGAGGAAAGUAUGGAAUCGAGAGACAAAAAAAUAACCCUUCCAAAUAUGGAGAACCUCAAUGAUAACAGAUUGGAUGAAGUUAACAAUGAUGAAAUUGUUCAAAUAGAAUUAGACAAUGUAAAUAAUAAUUUUGUACAAAAUAACGAAACACCUAAUUUGAUGAAUGGUUCACCUUUUAGAAUGACCACAAAUGAUGAUUAUGUAACACAACAAAAUAUUUCACAAAUGACAAAUUAUGAGUUAGAUACUCAUAAUCCCAACAACGACCAAAAUCAAAAUCCGCUAAUAUCCAAUUCCUCGGAAUAUGUAACCAAUGAAGAAUUAUUAAGAAAACAAAAUGAAGGCCUUCCUAAAAGUUAAAAAAAACUUGGAUUAUGUUACAAUUGAUAAUAUUUAAAACAUUUCACACAAUUUAUUGUUCCCUGUCCCCCCGUCUCUCGAAGAAAUCAGGGGACUAUUAAAAUAGGUCUGCUCGCCUGUCGAUCCGUCUCUCUGUCCGUCACACUUUUUGGAACACAAUAAUUCUCCUAAUUGAGCUACAAUGUUAAUUGCACAUUUUUCACCAAGCAGUUUGAUUGGUUGAGACUUUGGAACAUGAUAACUUUGAUUUUAAUUGAGUGAGAGCGAUGAAACUCUAGGUAUAGAUUGAUUAUAUCAAUACAUUGACUAAGUUCGAUGAUGAGAAUUUUUCUGUAUAGGCUAAGUAGUGAUAAGUAAUAUAAUUGGUAAAGACUUUGGAACAUAAUAACUCUGCUUUUAAUGGAGGUGAUCGUUAGCUAAAUGGAGGGGUUGGAUGGCCGAAUGGUUAUGACGUGCGUGCUGUAUUAUAAGGCCUGUCAUUGAGUCAACUGGCCUGGUUUCGAAUCCCCGGUUGUACAUGACAAGGUGUAGGGUCGCCUUCCCAACCUCGUGGGUUUUCUCCGGGUCCUUCGGUUUGCUCCCACUGCUAAAGACCCCUAUGCGCAAGCGAAUUAUUGAAAUAAAAUUAAACCAUAUGUUAGUCCCGAAAUGAAUUAGUUUGGGACGAGUGGACGUUAAACCCUCUCUCUCUCUCUCUCUCCCUCUCUCUCUCUCUCUCUCUCUCACAUAAGGUAAAUGUCUUAACUGAGUUCAAUGAUUAACAUUUCCCAAGAAAGCUAAGCAGAGCUAAGCAAUUUCAUUGGUUGAUGUUUUGGGACAAGAUAACUUUGAUUCUAACUGAUGGAGAGUGAUGAAACGUAGUGUAUAGUUUUACUACCAGGUACUUCAAAACCUUGACUGAUUUUGAUCUUGGACAUUUUAUGCUUAUUAGACUAAGAAAAGAUAAUCAGUUUGAUUGCUCGAUACUUUUGAUAAAGAUAAAUGUCCAAUUAAUUAAUAGGUGUCAUCUAUUUAUUUUGGGAUUUUGGCGGGGGGACAUCAGCCUAACUGUUGGCUUGUUUUCAUAUCCAUGUCUCCAAUUAUAUUUGAUUGUUUUCAUUAUGGGAAUCAUCAUAACUUUCUUUCUUAGCCUGUUAGGCUCACUACUUUCCAUUGUAAAGAUAUUCGCCUAAAUUACUGGAUAGAUUUCAAUCAAAUUCAGUAGGGAUGUUGCCAUGAGGGCUCCCUCCAUGAACCCCUUAACAGCAAACGUCCUCAUCUAAUCUUCUUUCAAUUUAUGUUCUUUCUUUCGUCAAUUGCAGUGAAUCAAAAUUAUAAUAAUCUCUUGAGUCUUAUUCAUAGAAUUAUUGCCUUUGAUUAUGUCAAAGAAUCCUGCAACGUGCAGAUUUUGCUUUAUUUAAAGGUCGACAGUUACUUAUUUAACUUCUGUUGUGAUCGUAGGCUUUCAUUUUGCCCACAAAGCACAGAUUGGCGAAUUAUUUUAGACCUGGGGAUCACGUGGCUAAGUGGGCAAGACGCUGGCUCGCUAGCCUGGAGGUCGGGUGUUCAAUACCUGCAUUGGCCGAGAAAGUUCAUCCAGAUUUUCCAGCGUGGUUUCCCCUUGUCAGUGAUGCAGGAUGGAGGGCCUGACAAGGACUGCUGUCUAGUCGUUCGGAUGGGACGAAAAACCGAGGUCCCGUGUACACAUUGGUGUGCACGUAAAAGAUCCCUUGGCAGUUGGAAUUCGAUAUAAGAGUAGGCAGUAGUGCCGCUGCCCAGGAAAAAUAUCCCUCAUAGCACACUGUAUGGUGUAUGCCCGUCUUCAUUAGCCAAGUUUAGGAGCAGAACAGUAGGACGUUAAACCCCAUUUCAUUUAUUUUUUUAAGACCUUCACUGAUAAAUGGGGUAUUAUAAGAUGGUUGACUAUAGCUGUAAAUACGGUAUUAUAACAUUGUUAAAAAUGUUAAAAUUACAACUUUUAACAAAGUCACAAAAUCUUGGAAUUGUCUGAAUAGUUAGUACCAACAGACGGUCAUGAAGAUAUUUAGUCAUUUGGUAAUUAUAAAUAUACCGGUAUGCAAAUGUCAAAACUUUAUCGGCAUGUUAAUAUACGCCAAGUUCACUAAAAUAUCAGGAAUUUUAAUGUGUUAAAGUUUAUAAAAUGUUUUAGUUAAGUCUUGUGCUACAAGUUUAUAAAAUGUUUUAGUUAAGUCUUGUGCUACCGGUAUAUAUAUGUUUAAGUUAAGUUUUGUGCUUUUUAUAUGUUGGUACAUUAGAAUUAUAUUAGGUCUGAAAUUAAGAUAUUAAUGAUAGUGAUCUGAUAUUGAGAUAUUAAUGAUAAUAUAUACAUGUAUAAAUAUACUACUGGCAAUUUUAUCAGUAUAUAAGGAUUUUAAAGGGACUAUCCCGAUUUGAACAGAGUCUCAAAAUUAAAGUCUGAGUACGUAUGAAAUUUAAGUGCCAAAUUUUAGAGGAAUGGUGUUUUUACCUUGUCUCAAAAUUUCAGCUCAAAAUAUUGAGUCGGUUGGACGUGAACGUCAAAACUGCUUAUCCAGACACGUAACCCUUUUAAGAUUUCAGGUCAAUUUUUUUGUUGGGUGACCCGAUAAUCGAUUCCCAUUCCUUUAGAGGUCUAUAGAAUGAAUGACCCAUGAGCUGUACUUGAUAACGAAUGGUAAAUUCCACUUACACAUUAUUUUUAUAAAAUAAAAGUCUGGUUUUAUCCAGACACCGCAUAAUACAGCUUGAGACACCGGUCUCCAUUUCCAGAUGAAGACUGGUGGGUUUAAGUUGAUUGAAAACGUAUAACGUGUAUUGAGUUAGUUGCUCUAAGGUAGAGGAUUUUAAGGGGUUGUAACACAAAAUUAAGCAGUUUUAUUCUCAAAAAUAUAAUCAGGAUUGGCCCUUCAAAUGAAAUUGUGUGUGUUCAAUCCCUGCGUUGGCCGAGAAAGUUCUUUGUGAUUUUCCGGUGUGGUUCCUCCUUGUCAUUGGUGUAGGAUGGAGGACCUGGCAGGGGACAAGUUAUACCGUGUACGCAUUGCCGUGCACGUAAAAGAACCCUUGACAGUUGGAAUUCGAUAUAAGAGUAGGCCGUAGUGCCGCUGUCCGGGCAAAAUUUCCCUCAUAGCAUACUGUAUGGUGUAUACCCGUCUUCAUUAGCCCAGUAGGAGUAGGACAGUAGGACGUUAAACCCCAUUUCAUUUAAAAGAAAUUAAAGCAGACUGAUAUAAAUUCUGUCUUCCAUUAGUCGUAUUAACAGAUUAUUUUAAUAUUUUACUGCAUAUUAUUAUUACAUUAAUUAUUUCUAUAUUUUAUUAACAUAUAUUAAUUUUAAUAUAAAAAACGAUAUUUACUGUAUAGAUAUGAAUGUUAUUAAUGAACUUGUUUGAUAUCAUAUUGGGUAUUCUAUAUCAAUCAACUUGUUUGAUAGGGAAAGGGAUUUUACAUAGGCUAAGCUGUUCCCCAAUCCCAUUGGUAUUCUAUGUUAUAAAUUGGGUCUUCUUAUCAAUCAACUUGUUUUAUAUGAUAUGUUAUAAAUUGGUCUUCUAUAGAUAAGUGCUUCCAAAUGUAUGUAGUCCAUACAGCAUUAAAUAGCCUUUAAUUGUCCUGAGAAUUCAUUUAUUACCCUAGGCCCUGUUUCUCGAAAACUUAACUAAAGAUAAAAUCCAAAUUUUAGUAGAUACUUUAAUUUUGAUUAAAUAAGCACUAAAAUCAGUCUAAUAUUAUCCAAUCAAAUUACUAAAAUUUGGAUUUUAUCUUAGUUAAAUUUUCGUGAAACAGGCCCCUGAAACCCUAAAUUCUCAUGAAACAAAUCAUCUGUGACCCUAAAAAACCCGAAGAAUUGCCAGCUCUUAAUCUAAUCUUCCAUAAUGUAUCUUUAAGUAAAUAUAUACAUGUAAAUCAUUAUAAAUCAGAAUUUAAGAAAAUAAAUUAUUUUGAAUUGUCAUAUAUAUGGUAGUAAAAUAACCAUGUUUUAAGUCAAUGACUUCAUGUUUUGAAGCUUUUUUUUGUUCAUAGCUGAAUUGUUUACUUUUUACAAUUAGAAUCAAAAUACUUUUUAUAUACCCUUCCCUUACCCUAACCCUACUUUUUAUAUACCCUAAACCUAACCCUACUUUUUAUAUACCCAUUUAUAAACGUAUAUUCAUGUAACCUUGGUGCAACUUUCUUGUGAACACCCUACAUGUCCGAGUUAUUUUCAAAAUUUGCAGCAGUUGACUUUUAAAGCUUGCAAUCAUAAACAAUAUUUGUUUACUGUUGUAUAUUCAAAGCCCAGCUAAGGCAUUGUAGUCAGGCCCAGGGCCCCGCUCCUUAGGCAUUGUAGUCAGGCCCAGGGCCCCACUCCGGUUAAUCUGGGCUUUGUGCAUAUUAAUCAAAUUUCUAAAUUUUCAGAGUGCAAGUUCUGAUUGAGUUACCUGUCCAUUCAGAUUUCUAAUUUUAAAUCUUGUGAAGGGUUCUGAGUUCCCUACCAAAUAUCUUGUGAAGGGUUCCAAGUUCCAUACCAAAUGUUUUGUUCAUCGAUAUUAAUGUGCAUCACUUAAUUUCAGGUUUCAUUUUUUGUUUUCAUUACACAUUUUAGUGCAGUAGACACUAUACAAUAAUAAUUUGUUAAUUAAUUUUUAAUUUCAUUUAAAGUAUUUUGUAUGGUUUUUUUUUUGAUAUUAAAGGUUUUACAUAAUACUUUAAACAUUUGUUGAUAAAAUUGAAACUUGGUUUCACUAAAAAUAAAGAAUUAAAUAUCAGACUCCCCAAAAAGUCAUUUAUAUGCAACAUUCAUAUCUUUGCAAUCUGAUUAAGACACAGAUCCUAUUUCGUUUCAUUUUUUAUAGUUCAUAAUUUUCGUUGUAAUGGUCUUUACUACACUAGGGUGUGGAAGAGUUGUUAUAAUUGGCGUGUUCUGAAUGAUGUGAAGUAUUGGCCAAUGAAACGGUCAGUUACGAUGAGCUUUUGGCAUGAGGUGCACGGAACUGUUGGUAAUCCACUUGAAACAUCAAUGCUGAUUGGGGGUUUGGAUGGCUGAAUGGUUAGCAUGCACGCGCUGUAUCAUAAAGUCUGUCAUUGAGUCGACUGGCGUGGUUUCGAAUCCCCGGUUGUACGUGGCAAGGAGUAGGGUCGCCUGUCCAACCUCGUGGGUUUUCUCAGGGUCCUCCGGUUUCCUCCCACUGCUAAAGACCCCUACGCGCAAGCGAAUUGUGUAAAUAAAAUUAAACCAUAUGUAAGUCCCCAAAAUGACCUAGUUUGUGUCGAGUGGACGUUAAACCCCAUUUGGCCAUCCAACCCCCCUACUCUGUUACUACAACUACAAAGGCUGGAAAAUAGCAAGAAUAUGUCCGAUGUGUCCAAAGGAUUCAAAAUAAAAUGAACUGGGGUUUAACAUCCUACACCGACUAGGCUAAUGAAGACGGGCAUAUCGGUACACCAUACAGUGUGCUAUGAGGGAAAUUUUGCCCGGACAGCAGCUCUAUGGCCUACUCUUAUAUCGAAUUCCAAUUGCUAAGGGAUCUUUUACGUGUGCGCCAAUGUGUACACUGAACCUCAGUUUUUUUCCCACCCGAAUGACAAGGGGGGAAUCACGGGAAAAAUCCAGAUGAAAUUUCACGGUCAAUGCAGAGAUCGAACACCCAACUUCAGAGUUAGCGAGCCAACGUCUUAUUCACUUAGCCACCGUGGCUCCCCAAAGGGUUCAUUUUCCAGCAAGUAUAAUGACUGAACAACUAACAUAGUAGUCCGAGAUCUAUCAAUAUAACUGAUCCUUAAAAUGGUGUACUGAUCGAUUAUUUGUUUUAGAUCCAACCUAUUUCUUGGUCAACUGUCUAGGUCAUUUCGGGACUAACACAUGGUUCAAUUUUAUUUCAAUAAUUCGCUUGCGCGUAGGGGUCUUUAGCAGUGGGAGGAAACCGGAGGACCCGGAGAAAACCCACGAGGUUGGACAGGCAACCCUUCUCCUUGUCACGUAGGCUACAACCAGGGAACCAGUACAUGUUACAUUUCAAGCUAGAGAUAGAUACCGCGCCCCCUCCCCCAUAAUGUUCUGUUCAUCCUCCAAAUUUUAACUUUUCUUCUUUUUUUUUUAAAAGUAGGAUGAGUUGAGUAAGAGAGAGAGAGUGAGAGAGAGAGAGAGAGUGAGAGAGAGAGAGAUGGGGUUUAAAUCCACUUACACAAACUAGGUUAGUUUCAGGACAAACUAGGUUUAAUUCUAUUACAAUAAUUUGGUGCACAGAAGGGGUCUUUAGCUGCCUGAGCUCCCGCAGCUUGCUAUAUUCGUAUGAAAAGUUACUAAAUAUUUUGACAAAAAUUAUUAUUAUUAUUAUUAUUAUUAUUAUUCACCAGUGGUGGAAGAAAGCUUGCUUAAGUUUAGGCUAGAUCUAUUACUUAUAAGGCCAUCUCAAAUUUCAUCAUGGUUGCUGAGAUGUAAAUAAGGUUAGGGCACGUGAUUGUAGUCGAGAUUAGCGCUAGCCCUGUUUACAUCUCGUGACUUGACGAAAUCUGAAGUUGGCCUUAUCAAAUAGAUAUAACCGUGUGUUCAGGAAGUCAUUAUUAUAGUGUCAUGGUAUUCGAGACUAAAUUGUAAACAAGAAGCCCGCGCGGCAGCAGGUGUAUUACGUGAAUUUGUGGAAAAUAAAAGAUGUGUAAAAUCAAAGUUUAUUGACCGAUUCGUCUGAAAUUUGAUGUGUGUUCUUACAAACACGGGAAGAACUCGAACUAGGCGCACAAAGCGAUUUGUCCUUUUAUAGACUGGUUAAUAAAGUCUACAUGCAUGUUUCGAUGGUAUUUGUCUCCCUUAAACCAUAACCGGACAAGAAAUAUUUUGCAUGUUCCUGAAUUGUCUAAACAUCAAUGAAGGUGAAUUUAAAGACUAAACAUAGCUAGUUGUCAUGAGCAAGACAGCCGGGAAGUUUGUUCUGGUUGUGUUGGAGAGUUUAUCUGGAUCGGGUCAUAAAAUUAUAAAAAAACGACCGAAACUUGGAGAUAAAUUAGAAGCUGUUAUGUUUGAUCCUAUAGUACAAGAGAAUGUAUUAUUCAGAGAGAUGAAAAAACUUAAAACAUUACGACGUGGAAAAUGAGACCACAAUGUUUGAUUUUAUAAAACAAAAGAAAUGAAAUGACAUUUAAUUUUUCCUUCAGCAAGUCGUCACUUUUAUCCAAUCUGUUGUUUUGAAAACAUGUACUCUAGACCGUUGUUCGUGUGUGAGUGGGGUGGGGGUUAUAGAAUUGACAGUAGAUUGAACAUAAAUAAAAAUGUAUAAAUUUGUA
Patella vulgata (common limpet) is the source of this 11098-nucleotide RNA transcript. It is a transcript of the gene named interleukin-6 receptor subunit beta, with no coding region annotated. The transcript has 18 exons. Lineage: Eukaryota; Metazoa; Mollusca; Gastropoda; Patellidae. The record is from RefSeq and is a predicted model, not a curated record.